UGCUGUGAUGGUGUAAUUUGCGUCUGAUCUUGUGGUCAGUGACAGUUGCCUGCUGUCUCAAAGCUGUCACGAGAUAUUGAUGACUGUUAAAGUCUGAAGCU
Synchiropus splendidus (mandarinfish) is the source of this 101-nucleotide small nucleolar RNA. RefSeq annotates it as small nucleolar RNA SNORD16. The record is from RefSeq and is a predicted model, not a curated record. The transcript has a single exon. NCBI's taxonomy places the organism in Eukaryota, Metazoa, Chordata, Actinopteri, Syngnathiformes, Callionymidae.